CCUACGGGUCGCACCAGUGGGGAAUAUUGGACAAUGGGCGAAAGCCUGAUCCAGCAAUGCCGCGUGUGAAGAAGGUCUUCGGAUUGUAAAGCACUUUCGACGGGGACGAUGAUGACGGUACCCGUAGAAGAAGCCCCGGCUAACUUCGUGCCAGCAGCCGCGGUAAUACGAAGGGGGCUAGCGUUGUUCGGAAUUACUGGGCGUAAAGCGCGCGUAGGCGGAUAGAUAAGUCAGAGGUGAAAUCCCGGGGCUCAACCCCGGAAUUGCCUUUGAUACUGUUUAUCUUGAGUGCAGAAGAGGUAAGUGGAAUUCCGAGUGUAGAGGUGAAAUUCAUAGAUAUUGGGAAGAACACCAGUGGCGAAGGCGGCUUACUGGUCUGCAACUGACGCUGAUGCGCGAAAGCGUGGGGAGCAAACAGGAUUAGAUACCCCGGUAGUC
Molecule: ribosomal RNA, 438 nt
Filed under: uncultured bacterium
Lineage: Bacteria
Description: bacterial SSU rRNA
Rfam family: Bacterial small subunit ribosomal RNA
Source: RNAcentral